RNAcentral lists this ribosomal RNA (1313 nucleotides) under uncultured organism. RNAcentral's name for it is "bacterial SSU rRNA". It matches the Rfam family "Bacterial small subunit ribosomal RNA", at positions 97 to 1426 of the family's 1533-position model. The record is from RNAcentral.
GGCAGACGGCUGAGUAACGCGUGGGAACCAACCCCAAACACUGGAAUAGCUCACCGAAAGGUGGGGUACUACCAGAUAGUUCCGCUUCGGCGGUAAAGCUCUGGCGGUUUGGGACGGGCCCGCGUCCUAUCAGGUUGUUGGUGAGGUAAAGGCUCACCAAGCCUAUGACGGGUAGCUGGUUUGAGAGGAUGACCAGCCAGACUGGGACUGCGACACGGCCCAGACUCCUACGGGAGGCAGCAAUUAGGAAUCGUGCGCAAUGGACGAAAGUCUGACGCCGCGACGUCGCGUGGAGGAUGAAGGUCUGCGGAUCGUAAACUCCUUUUAUCAGGGAACAAGGUUCUGAGUGUACCUGAUGAAUAAGUGCUUGCCAACCACGUGCCAGAAGCAUCGGUAAAACGUGGGGCACAAGCGUUAUCCGGAUUUACUGGGCGUAAAGAGAUACGUAGGCGUCUUUCCAAGUCAGUUGUUAAAUCUUUCGGCUCAACCGAAACAUGGCAACCGAUACUGGAUUGAUUGAGGUAGAUAGGGGAGAACGGAAUUCCUGGUGGAGCGGUCAAAUGCGUAGAUAUCAGGAGGAACACCAAUGGCGAAGGCAGUUCUCUGGGUCUUACCUGACGCUAAGGUUCGAAAGCGUGGGGAGCAAAACGGAUUAGAUACCCGUGUAGUCCACGCCGUAAACGAUCCCUGCUAGGUGUAUGUCUUUCCUUUUUAUUUCUUCGGAAGUAAUUAUGGUAAGGUGUGUGCCACAGCUAACGCAUUAAGCAGGGCGCCUGAGGAGUACGGUCGCAAGGCUAAAACUCAAAGGAAUUGACGGGGACCCGCACAAGCAGUGGAGCGCCUGGUUUAAUUCGAUGAUCAGCGAAGAAUCUCACCUAGGCUUGAACUGUAGCUGCACGCCCACAGAAACGUGGGAAGCCUUCGAGGGUGCCACAGAGGUGCUGCAUGGUUGUCGUCAGCUCGUGUCGUGAGAUGUAGGGUUAAGUCCCACAACGAACGCAACCCCUACCCAGUGUUACAUAUUUCUCUGGGGACUGCCCUGCCCAAGCGGGGAGGAAGGAGGGGACGACGUCCAGUCAUCAUGUUCCUUAUGUCUAGGGCUACACAGACGCUACAAUGGGCGGUACAAUGGGCAGCCAAACCGCAAGGUGGAGCUAAUCCCAUCAAAACUGUUCUCAGUUCGGAUUGUAGGCUGGAACUCGCCUGCAUGAAGUCGGAAUUGCUAGUAAUCGCGUAUCAGCAUGGCGCGGUGAUACGUUCUCGGGUCUUGUACACACCGCCCGUCAGGGCACGGAAGCUGCUUCUGCCCGAAG